This 2900-nucleotide ribosomal RNA is filed under the name Klebsiella pneumoniae subsp. pneumoniae. RNAcentral's name for it is "bacterial LSU rRNA". It matches the Rfam family "Bacterial large subunit ribosomal RNA". Lineage: Bacteria; Pseudomonadati; Pseudomonadota; Gammaproteobacteria; Enterobacterales; Enterobacteriaceae. The record is from RNAcentral.
UUAAGUGACUAAGCGUACACGGUGGAUGCCCUGGCAGUCAGAGGCGAUGAAGGACGUGCUAAUCUGCGAAAAGCGUCGGUAAGGUGAUAUGAACCGUUAUAACCGGCGAUGUCCGAAUGGGGAAACCCAGUGCAAUUCGUUGCACUAUCGUUAACUGAAUACAUAGGUUAACGAGGCGAACCGGGGGAACUGAAACAUCUAAGUACCCCGAGGAAAAGAAAUCAACCGAGAUUCCCCCAGUAGCGGCGAGCGAACGGGGAGCAGCCCAGAGUCUGAAUCAGCUUGUGUGUUAGUGGAACGGUCUGGAAAGUCCGACGGUACAGGGUGAUAGUCCCGUACACCAAAAUGCACAGGCUGUGAACUCGAAGAGUAGGGCGGGACACGUGGUAUCCUGUCUGAAUAUGGGGGGACCAUCCUCCAAGGCUAAAUACUCCUGACUGACCGAUAGUGAACCAGUACCGUGAGGGAAAGGCGAAAAGAACCCCGGCGAGGGGAGUGAAAAAGAACCUGAAACCGUGUACGUACAAGCAGUGGGAGCACCUUCGGGUGUGACUGCGUACCUUUUGUAUAAUGGGUCAGCGACUUAUAUUCUGUAGCAAGGUUAACCGUAUAGGGGAGCCGCAGGGAAACCGAGUCUUAACUGGGCGUUAAGUUGCAGGGUAUAGACCCGAAACCCGGUGAUCUAGCCAUGGGCAGGUUGAAGGUUGGGUAACACUAACUGGAGGACCGAACCGACUAAUGUUGAAAAAUUAGCGGAUGACUUGUGGCUGGGGGUGAAAGGCCAAUCAAACCGGGAGAUAGCUGGUUCUCCCCGAAAGCUAUUUAGGUAGCGCCUCGUGAAUUCAUCUUCGGGGGUAGAGCACUGUUUCGGCUAGGGGGUCAUCCCGACUUACCAACCCGAUGCAAACUACGAAUACCGAAGAAUGUUAUCACGGGAGACACACGGCGGGUGCUAACGUCCGUCGUGAAGAGGGAAACAACCCAGACCGCCAGCUAAGGUCCCAAAGUCAUGGUUAAGUGGGAAACGAUGUGGGAAGGCACAGACAGCCAGGAUGUUGGCUUAGAAGCAGCCAUCAUUUAAAGAAAGCGUAAUAGCUCACUGGUCGAGUCGGCCUGCGCGGAAGAUGUAACGGGGCUAAACCAUGCACCGAAGCUGCGGCAGCGACACUAUGUGUUGUUGGGUAGGGGAGCGUUCUGUAAGCCUGCGAAGGUGACCUGUGAGGGUUGCUGGAGGUAUCAGAAGUGCGAAUGCUGACAUAAGUAACGAUAAAGCGGGUGAAAAGCCCGCUCGCCGGAAGACCAAGGGUUCCUGUCCAACGUUAAUCGGGGCAGGGUGAGUCGACCCCUAAGGCGAGGCCGAAAGGCGUAGUCGAUGGGAAACAGGUUAAUAUUCCUGUACUUGGUGUUACUGCGAAGGGGGGACGGAGAAGGCUAUGUUAGCCGGGCGACGGUUGUCCCGGUUUAAGCAUGUAGGCUGGUUGUCCAGGCAAAUCCGGAUAAUCAAGGCUGAGGUGUGAUGACGAGGCACUACGGUGCUGAAGUAACAAAUGCCCUGCUUCCAGGAAAAGCCUCUAAGCAUCAGGUAACAUCAAAUCGUACCCCAAACCGACACAGGUGGUCAGGUAGAGAAUACCAAGGCGCUUGAGAGAACUCGGGUGAAGGAACUAGGCAAAAUGGUGCCGUAACUUCGGGAGAAGGCACGCUGGUGUGUAGGUGAAGUCCCUGCGGAUGGAGCUGAGACCAGUCGAAGAUACCAGCUGGCUGCAACUGUUUAUUAAAAACACAGCACUGUGCAAACACGAAAGUGGACGUAUACGGUGUGACGCCUGCCCGGUGCCGGAAGGUUAAUUGAUGGGGUUAUCCGUAAGGAGAAGCUCUUGAUCGAAGCCCCGGUAAACGGCGGCCGUAACUAUAACGGUCCUAAGGUAGCGAAAUUCCUUGUCGGGUAAGUUCCGACCUGCACGAAUGGCGUAAUGAUGGCCAGGCUGUCUCCACCCGAGACUCAGUGAAAUUGAACUCGCUGUGAAGAUGCAGUGUACCCGCGGCAAGACGGAAAGACCCCGUGAACCUUUACUAUAGCUUGACACUGAACAUUGAGCCUUGAUGUGUAGGAUAGGUGGGAGGCUUUGAAGCGUGGACGCCAGUCUGCGUGGAGCCAACCUUGAAAUACCACCCUUUAAUGUUUGAUGUUCUAACGUUGGCCCCUGACCGGGGUUGCGGACAGUGUCUGGUGGGUAGUUUGACUGGGGCGGUCUCCUCCCAAAGCGUAACGGAGGAGCACGAAGGUUAGCUAAUCCUGGUCGGACAUCAGGAGGUUAGUGCAAUGGCAUAAGCUAGCUUGACUGCGAGCGUGACGGCGCGAGCAGGUGCGAAAGCAGGUCAUAGUGAUCCGGUGGUUCUGAAUGGAAGGGCCAUCGCUCAACGGAUAAAAGGUACUCCGGGGAUAACAGGCUGAUACCGCCCAAGAGUUCAUAUCGACGGCGGUGUUUGGCACCUCGAUGUCGGCUCAUCACAUCCUGGGGCUGAAGUAGGUCCCAAGGGUAUGGCUGUUCGCCAUUUAAAGUGGUACGCGAGCUGGGUUUAGAACGUCGUGAGACAGUUCGGUCCCUAUCUGCCGUGGGCGCUGGAGAAUUGAGGGGGGCUGCUCCUAGUACGAGAGGACCGGAGUGGACGCAUCACUGGUGUUCGGGUUGUCAUGCCAAUGGCACUGCCCGGUAGCUAAAUGCGGAAGAGAUAAGUGCUGAAAGCAUCUAAGCACGAAACUUGCCCCGAGAUGAGUUCUCCCUGAGACUUUAAGUCUCCUGAAGGAACGUUGAAGACGACGACGUUGAUAGGCCGGGUGUGUAAGCGCAGCGAUGCGUUGAGCUAACCGGUACUAAUGAACCGUGAGGCUUAACCUU